CCCUAUGGGGUGCAGCGGGAGAUCCAGACGGCGUUCGUGGUCUCGGGCGAGAGCAGCAGCCAUGAUGCGGCGACGCGCUCGCGGUAUCCGCACGUGCAAGUGAGCAUGGACGCGCGGAAUGAGUAUCUGCAGCAGCGCGGGCUGGAUGCGGUGGCGGAGACGAAGUGGUGGGACGCGCACAAGGAACAGUUGGUGGUGCUGGUGCGGCAUGCCCUGCUGCAUCGGGACCAGUAUGUGCCGAUGGUGAUGUCGCUGUUGAACGCCUGGCGGACGGCGCCGGAAUUGGCGGGAGGGC
This 295-nucleotide ribosomal RNA is filed under the name uncultured prokaryote. RNAcentral describes it as "partial 16S ribosomal RNA". The record is from RNAcentral.